RNAcentral lists this ribosomal RNA (378 nucleotides) under uncultured bacterium. RNAcentral describes it as "bacterial SSU rRNA". It matches the Rfam family "Bacterial small subunit ribosomal RNA", at positions 28 to 433 of the family's 1533-position model. The record is from RNAcentral.
GAUGAACGCUGGCGGCGUGCUUAACACAUGCAAGUCGAGCGGGCGUAGCAAUACGUCAGCGGCAGACGGGUGAGUAACGCGUGGGAACAUACCUUUUGGUUCGGAACAACACAGGGAAACUUGUGCUAAUACCGGAUAAGCCCUUACGGGGAAAGAUUUAUCGCCGAAAGAUUGGCCCGCGUCUGAUUAGCUAGUUGGUGAGGUAACGGCUCACCAAGGCGACGAUCAGUAGCUGGUCUGAGAGGAUGAUCAGCCACAUUGGGACUGAGACACGGCCCAAACUCCUACGGGAGGCAGCAGUGGGAAUAUUGGACAAUGGGCGCAAGCCUGAUCCAGCCAUGCCGCGUGAGUGAUGAAGGCCCUAGGGUUGUAAAGCUC